UACGGAGGGGGCUAGCGUUGUUCGGAAUUACUGGGCGUAAAGCGCACGUAGGCGGCUUUGUAAGUUAGAGGUGAAAGCCCGGGGCUCAACUCCGGAAUUGCCUUUAAGACUGCAUCGCUAGAAUUGUGGAGAGGUAAGUGGAAUUCCGAGUGUAGAGGUGAAAUUCGUAGAUAUUCGGAAGAACACCAGUGGCGAAGGCGACUUACUGGACACAUAUUGACGCUGAGGUGCGAAAGCGUGGGGAGCAAAC
RNAcentral lists this ribosomal RNA (250 nucleotides) under uncultured bacterium. RNAcentral's name for it is "partial 16S ribosomal RNA". It matches the Rfam family "Bacterial small subunit ribosomal RNA", at positions 524 to 773 of the family's 1533-position model. RNAcentral also lists the same sequence under 2 other names. The record is from RNAcentral.